Molecule: ribosomal RNA, 336 nt
Filed under: Triticum aestivum (bread wheat)
Lineage: Eukaryota; Viridiplantae; Streptophyta; Magnoliopsida; Poales; Poaceae
Description: partial small subunit ribosomal RNA
Source: RNAcentral
AUGGCGCCGCCGGGCGACAUCCAAGCCGCACCGUCGGAGCAGCCGGCGCUCCAGGACGAGCUCCUCGAGGAGAUCCUCCUUCGCCUGACGGCGGCCGCUGACCUCGCCCGCGCCUCGACGGUGUGCCCCACCCCGCGCCGCGUCAUCACCGACCACUCCUUCCUCCGCCGCUUACGCACCCUCCACCCGCCGCCUCUCCUCGACAUAAUUUCCGCCACCUUGUCACACCCUUGCCGUCCGGCCCAGCACCCCCAUCCCUUCGCCGCCGCCGCCCGCGCCUUGGACGCCGUGGAGGUCGAUUUAUGGUGCUCCUUCCUCCCCUCUACCAAGCGAUGA